RNAcentral lists this long non-coding RNA (2006 nucleotides) under Zostera marina. RNAcentral's name for it is "long non-coding RNA (ZMAR_LNC001994)". Lineage: Eukaryota; Viridiplantae; Streptophyta; Magnoliopsida; Alismatales; Zosteraceae. The record is from RNAcentral.
GGUAAGAUCUCUGAUCACGAGAAGCUUUGUCUGUAAAACCCUGCUUUCCACACAGAGUUUUAAAAUACUAAAAUGAUUUAUAAUACCCUGUUUUCCUAACAGAAUUUGAAUAUAACAAAAUAUUCCAAAAUGUUCAGUCUUUAAGAAAUCUAAGAUAGUGUUUAUUACAACCCAAAAUAGAUAACAAUGACUAUAAAAGUUUAUGUUCUACGCAAGCGAGCCUUGUCGCCUCGACGAGUCCUUUGUUUCCUACCACUCCAAUUAAGCAAGACUGCCUCCAUUCCCUGUAACAUUGUAUGUAUCCGUGAGUGAUUUUAUCACUCAGUAUGUAAAGCAUCCACACUAACAUUUCUCAAAUAUCAAGCUAUUUCACUUUACAAAUAGUAAGGAUUUACACAACAAGCAAGCAAGUAAACCCUUAAUUUACUUCAUCAAUCAAUCAUCAUUCAUAAGACUCAUAUGGGUCAUCAUUCGUCAUUCAUCAUUCACCGUCGGUUAGGCGUCAAAAUACCUCGGUCAUAUUUCACUCAUUCAUUCAUUCAUUCAUUCAUUCCUUCAUUCGUUCGUUCAUUCAUUCCUUAACUCGUUUACACAUGCAUUUCUACCUUGGUUCCCCCACAUUCAUGUAAUCCCUCCUUUAAUCAUAUUAUCAGUUUUGAAUCAGCAAUACAUUCAGUUAAGUAAAGCAAUUUUAGUCAUGGCACUAAUUCGAAUUAGUAUCAUAGAAAUCACAUAUUUUAAAUCUUUCAAACCAUUAGUAUUUUUACAUUUACCGUUUCAAACUAUCAGUAUAUUCAAACUAUUAACAAAUUAAUUCAACCAGUUUCAGUUAUCAUAGGUUAUCAUGCAAUCAAAUAUCACUAACUUUAACAACUCAUAAGGUCGUACACUUCAAGAUCAGUAAAAUUGAUAUCUAUCAUAAACACUAAGAAUCAUUAGAUUUAACAUAGGAAUCACUUAAAUAAUCAUUAGAUUUAACAUCAUAAACAUAUAUAAGAGUCAUUAGAUUUAACAUAAGACUCUAAUAAUUUAUAUAUCAUUACUGACCAUAAGAAUCAAUUUGAUUUAACAUCACUGCGGUUAUCCUUACUGACCAUAAGAAUCAGUAUAUUUAACAUCAUAAACAAAAUGAGUCAUUAGAUUUAACAUAAGAAUCUAAUGAUUUAUCAUUACUGACCAUAAGAAUCAAUUUGAUUAAUUAACAUCACUACGGUUAUCCUUACUGACCAUAAGAAUCAUUAUAUUUAAUAUUAUAAACAAUAAGAGUCACUAGAUUUAACAUAAGAAUCUAAUGAUUUAUUAUUACUGACCAUAAGAAUCAAUUUGAUUUCACAUCACUACGGUUAUCUUUACUGACCAUAAGAAUUAGUAUAUUUAACAUCAUAAACAAUAAAGAAGAAUCAAUUAAAUAUACAUCUAUCAUAGUGGAUCGGCAUCAGAUCUUUAUCAUUAUGCUCAGUAUAUUUCUAACAGUAAGUCAAUUAAAACAUAGAUUUCUGUUCUACCUUCCUAACAGUAGGUUGGGAAAUCCAAAUGUAGGAUCCAUGUGUUAUGUGGAUAGCAAGGUUGAGGAUUCUGGACGAGUUCGUCCAGAUCACCCAUUCCAAUUGAACUCGUUCAAUCUUCCUUUCACUCACCAUUUUCCCUUCUUUUCCCAUCUCCCAUGAACAUUUUCUUUUAAAAAUCUAACACUCUACAUAUAUACCUGAUCCUCCUUUGUCCGCCAAGCUUCACACCUACCACUCCACGAUACUGGAGCUUCUCUACAAAUCCCCGCCACAGUGCCACUUCCUCCUCUUGCCCUAGUCGUUCCCUUUCUUCCUCUUUUCUUCUCCUCAUUCCGUUGUUCUUAUUAAUUUAUCUAAGUCAUUCCGAAGAGGGAAAUCAAAUGGAGUUGUCAAAGUACGAAAAUGAAAAGAAGGUGGAGACAAAAUAAGUUUUACUAGAUGAGGGGAGACACUUCUUAUACAUCAUCCUUCAGCUAUGUUUGACGAUAGAGAAAUAGU